RNAcentral lists this long non-coding RNA (862 nucleotides) under Malus domestica (apple). Its description in RNAcentral is "long non-coding RNA (MDOM_LNC013666)". The record is from RNAcentral. Lineage: Eukaryota; Viridiplantae; Streptophyta; Magnoliopsida; Rosales; Rosaceae.
UUCUUCUCUCUCUCUCAAUUAGCUUUAGGUAAAUACAUUUGUACUUAGCUCUAUAAUCUUCCUUUCCCACAAUUACAUGCAAGUAGGACGAUGACUUAGAUGGAACGAGUUCAUAGUCAUUAGUGAUUUGGAACAUUAUAGUGUUGAUGCAAUUGUUCCAUGAAAGUCUCUCUUCAUGUAUAUAAUAAAACACAAAAAAAAGUUGACCACCUAAAUUGAGAUUAACACUAAUUAGUAAUUAUCAUCAGCAUACUUAUUAAUUAAUUAACUCCACCAAGAAAAGCACCUGCCCUUGACACGAGAGUAGUCACCUCUCGACUGAAGCUCCACCGUUACCACCACCACUUGAACCACCACUCUUCCUACCACCACUCUUCCUACCACCACCGUUACCACCACCACCUGACAAAACAUGAACACAACAUGCAAGCACUUGAACACAAAAUGAUCGCAAUCAAUUCAACAAUCCCUACAAACCAUUUAAGUACAACCGCAGACUGGAGCCAAUAUGAUAGCGGGUCAUAUAUGUUGACGGAACCACCGAAAUUGAAAAAAAAAAUCUGCAAAACGCAUCAUGGGGUGAGAGACUAACCUUGCAAAUGAGGGAAUUUGUUGUGGGUCGAGACUUGAGCCUUGAAACGGCGAGAGGAAGUAGUGGUCGCAGGGGUGACAGAUUCAGAUUGAGAGUGAGACGGCGACGGCGAGUGAGAGGGAUAAGAGAAAGGUCGCUCUGAGACGACGAUGGCGAGUGAGAGACAGGUCGUUGAGAUGGUGAGAGAGAUUUGGAAUGACACCGUUCAAGAGAGAAACAAAAUCUAUACAAAAUCUGCAAAACCCAUGAAAUUAAAAACAAAAUCUAUAC